This 1228-nucleotide long non-coding RNA is filed under the name Lepisosteus oculatus (spotted gar). RNAcentral describes it as "lncRNA (ENSLOCG00000022205.1)". The record is from RNAcentral. Lineage: Eukaryota; Metazoa; Chordata; Actinopteri; Semionotiformes; Lepisosteidae.
CAGUGGUUGCACUCAAGAGCACAAUAAAAGACCUUCAUAUCUAACCGUUCCUUCCCUGCGACCACAGAUCCAUUAUGUCAGUUAUGCUUGGCAUAGUAUCCACAAACCAAUCUUUUCUGGGUCAUCCAGUAUUAAAUCAAAGCUUGUUAAGGUCCCCUUUUUAGCAUUUUUAUAUUUCCCCCUUGGGCCAGAGGCUUAGAAUUUAUUUGCCUUCAUCUGUAAUGAGGAUGUGACUUUUUUUUCAGGCCAGCUGGAAGCCACCCAUAAGACCACAGAAGCAUGGGCAGGAAAUUGGACACCCUGCAUAAUGGCAGUCUGAGGUCCCCAAGGCCUAAUUUGUCAGCCUGCAUGGCGAUCUCUUUCGGAAACGUGAGAUUAUAGGUCUAAAUAAAAAUAAAAACAAGUCACAGUCUAACAUGAUAACCCAAACGAUAACAUGCCAGCUAAUUAUUGGGAGUGAAGUUCCAGACAGCUAAAAAACAAACAAAGAAGGCCAUUCAUUCGAUCCGACCCAGAAGCAGAAGGUUUUCUUCUUUCUUUUUUAAAGACAAAGGUGACUCAAUCUAAAGAGGAAAUAUCGACAACGACAUAUGUAUGAAUGUACAUAGAAAGAAAAGCAAACUGAAAAAAAUGAGUUAUGAAAUGGGGACCUGUUUUCCAAAGGAUUCACACUGUGGAUUCCUGCUCUGCUAACAAAGCCCAUAUUGACUCUACAGUGCUCUGCAGUGUACCUUACAGUGAAAGAAAGGUGGCUUCAGGACAUUACUUUAAACGCUGACGUCGAAAGUGUUGGAUCGAGAGCAAUUAGGUCUUUUUUGUUUGAGACCUCACAGACAGAAGGGCUGGCGGAUGUUGUCUAAAGAGUCACCCACCAAGAUCAGAGAGUCUUCGCACGGACCCUUGUUUAUUCAACUGUAGCUUGUCUUCCUGGGUUCAACCAGACCCUCCUCAGCAUUAUGGGGCAGCCAGGAGGUGGGGAUACCACCACGAACAGCACAGCUGGCUGGCAGUGGCAAGGUUCAGACGGCCCUGUUUUUCCACUGUUUCCUCUCCAGGCUGCUACCAACGAAGCUCAUCUCCUUUCCAGAAAAAACAAAGCUGAGCUGCAUUCCCAGAGUUCAAUUUGCUGUUACAACGGAGGCCUGUGGAUUGGGGUUUGAGAUGUGUCUCUCAACCAGGGAGGUGCGUGGUUGGUUAUGUGCACCCUCAGGAACCCAUUUAAAGUUCA